AGAUGGUUUGAGGGCUUCGGGUCGGGACUUGGGCAAAGGCAAAUCAUUUGGAGUAGACGAAAAGCGACGAUGCGCAUAAAUUGUUGGCACAAACACACACACACAGGCGUACACCAGCGGUCAUACAUAUAGGGCUCAAGAAGUUUGAAGCAGGCGUCCAAAAUGCUUGAGUUGUGCUUCUGCUUUGAGGGAUUAUACCUGCCGGAAUACUGGAGGAAGACCACAUCCCACAUUCCUUGGCCAAGUCGACGCUGAAAGCUCAUCUCUAGGGAUUUCUGCCUCAAAAUUAUGAUUUAUUCUUACGUUAUAAUUUUCUUUCUCUUUCGCCGGCUCUCGCUCGUUUUCCUGUAGUUACUGAUACUGAAUUUUGGAUUUAAGUCGAAAAUUCGUGCCUUGUCGUGGCCCCCAAGGCAGUAUUUUACCAUUUAAUCGCCGAUGCUAUUUCUCUAUAUAUACGAGUCCCGUUUGUGUGCUUGAUAUCCCCAUAAUGUGACGCAAAGUGGAACCAGAGGUGUUUCCUGUCCCUCGGAGCACAUCGAUUCUCCUUUCCUGUCAAGCGAAAAGGUUCGAACACUGC
Drosophila melanogaster (fruit fly) is the source of this 577-nucleotide non-coding RNA. The record is from Ensembl. NCBI's taxonomy places the organism in Eukaryota, Metazoa, Arthropoda, Insecta, Diptera, Drosophilidae.